GCGUCUGUAGCUCAGUGGAUAGAGCGUUGGACUCCGACUCCAAAGGCCAAGGGUUCAAAUCCCUUCAGACGUACCA
This 76-nucleotide transfer RNA is filed under the name Clostridiales bacterium. Its description in RNAcentral is "tRNA-Arg". It matches the Rfam family "tRNA". From Rfam's summary of the family: Transfer RNA (tRNA) molecules are approximately 80 nucleotides in length. Their secondary structure includes four short double-helical elements and three loops (D, anti-codon, and T loops). Further hydrogen bonds mediate the characteristic L-shaped molecular structure. tRNAs have two regions of fundamental functional importance: the anti-codon, which is responsible for specific mRNA codon recognition, and the 3' end, to which the tRNAs corresponding amino acid is attached (by aminoacyl-tRNA synthetases). tRNAs cope with the degeneracy of the genetic code in two manners: having more than one tRNA (with a specific anti-codon) for a particular amino acid; and 'wobble' base-pairing, i.e. permitting non-standard base-pairing at the 3rd anti-codon position. The record is from RNAcentral. RNAcentral also lists the same sequence under 1 other name. Lineage: Bacteria; Bacillati; Bacillota; Clostridia; Eubacteriales.